RNAcentral lists this ribosomal RNA (370 nucleotides) under uncultured bacterium. Its description in RNAcentral is "bacterial SSU rRNA". It matches the Rfam family "Bacterial small subunit ribosomal RNA", at positions 527 to 896 of the family's 1533-position model. The record is from RNAcentral.
GUAGGGGGCAGGCGUUGUCCGGAUUUACUGGGCGUAAAGAGCGCGUAGGCGGAAUGGUAAGCGGGGCCGGAAAGCCCCCGGCUCAACCGGGGAAGGGGCCGCGAACUGCCAUUCUUGAGGGGGAGAGGGGAGAGCGGAAUUCCUGGUGUAGCGGUGAAAUGCGUAGAGAUCAGGAGGAACACCAAUGGCGAAGGCAGCUCUCUGGCUUCACCCUGACGCUGAGGCGCGAAAGCGUGGGGAGCGAACGGGAUUAGAUACCCCGGUAGUCCACGCCGUAAACGAUGAUCACUAGGCGUUGGUGGUAUCGACCCCACCAGUGCCGCAGCUAACGCAAUAAGUGAUCCGCCUGGGGAGUACGGCCGCAAGGUUG